GGAGAAGGCCUACUCUCAAGGGCAGAGCAUCUGCUUUACAUGUACAAGGUCCCAGGUUCAAUUCCUGGCAUCUCCA
Podarcis lilfordi (Lilford's wall lizard) is the source of this 76-nucleotide non-coding RNA. The record is from the annotation of a GenBank genome assembly. NCBI's taxonomy places the organism in Eukaryota, Metazoa, Chordata, Lepidosauria, Squamata, Lacertidae.